GGACACAGAAGCUUCCAGUCUGAGGAAACAAGACCAGCUGAGGAUCCGGCGAGGACCUGCUGCGUUGUGACAGGCCCAGAGGAAUAAUGCAGGUGUCCGUGGAUGGAAACCUCUGAGAUCCUGAGUGAGAACAAGGCUUUUCUCCUUUCAAGAGGACGGCAAUUCCAGAGGCUCCGAGCUCUCAGAACGCCAACCGAGAGAACGCCGAGCUGCCACAAGAAGAACUGUCGGUGGGUGCCGUGGCUCUGAAGGACGAGUCGGGCUGAGAGUUAAGUCCCUAUGGGAGAAGACGCUCUUCGGUCUCUGACCCAGGCUGGAUGGUGACACAAUGGCUGUGUUUAAUAACCCUAAAAUAUGAAUAUACCACAAUCUACUAACCGUUUCCCAACUACGAAGUACUCAGUUUGAGUUUUCCCCUUCGUUGGUAUGGAAUUUAACACCAUUGACCGGUUGGGAGGCUAUAGCUUUGAUUGUCUCUUAAUCAACUCCUAAUUUAGGCUCCUGGGAGUAGGAACCUGAGUUGAAGGGAAGGAACUCUUCCAUGAUUUUUGAAAUAAAGUGAAAUAGUUUUUACAUUUUAGAAGAAGUAUGCUUGGAUGUCAGAUUUGGAGAACUGCCUGUCUUUGCCAGUGACGGGGACAGCCGUGAGCCAUUCCUGCCUACCCUGCUUCCCUCCUGAGGUGGCCCUGCCUGUGGCUGUCCAGAGCACACAGGAAACACAGAGGAACACAGCGGGGUGGCCAUGCUGCUUUUGUGUCAAAUGGGUGCAAUGUGGGGUUCUCACAGAGGAAAGGGAGGCUGGGCAAGCAGCCGGAACACCAAGAGGGACUAGUCUACCCACAGUCACACCGAGCAUCUCAUUAAGGUGAGUGUCCGUCUACAAGAGCCUGCUGAGAGCCCUUAGAAAUCCUCUCAGACCUUGGGUUUUAGAUUUUUUUAUUAGUGUUUUAAUUUUCCUCUCUCUUUUAUUUAUUUUUUUUCUUUUGGCUAUGAAUCCUAGCCUGGCCAAAACUCACUAUGUAUUCCAGGCUGGGUUUGAAUUCACGGCAAUUCUUCCUCAGACUCCUGAGUGCUAGGACCUCAAGAAUGUGCUGCCAUGCCAAGUAAAAUUGUAAUUUAUUAAUUAUUCAAUUCAUUGUCCCACUUCUGGUAUUAAGUUAAUGGUUCAUUCUUAAAAGUGUGUUUAUUUAAGGAUUCUUUCAGCAGAGCCAAGCCUGAGCUACAGAACACCUCCAGCCUGGCACUCACCCAGUCCUACAUUUGAUCCCAGCCCCACAAACCAAACAACGCAGGAAAAAGUGCAUUGGCACAAAUAACCACGCCUCCCAUAGGGAAGAGGUGGUAACCUGGUCUCUCACUACGAUCUACACACACUAGGACGGAAUAACCGUCACCACUCAGGCUCCGUCUGUUUCUCCUGCUCUCUCUCCAUCUGCCUGAGCUGAAGGUUUUAUUUCUUUGUCAUCUAACAAACUAAGUGCGAAACGUGCGUCUCUCUUGCACACAUUGCCAUCGAGAUGUCCUGUCCUCCGUCUUCCGGUCUCUGCAGGGAAGCCUCUCUCAGCCUCACCUCCUGCCCAGGUGACAAUUGGUCUCUAAACUCACCUGCUUGUGGCUUCCAACCAGGAUGAGGGCACCAGCUCCUUCUUCCCAACCAGGAUGAGGGCACCAGCUCCUGCUUCCCAACCAGGAUGAGGGCACCAGCUCCUGUUUCCCAAGCAGGGUGAGGGCACCAGCUCCUGCUUCCCUCCAGCUUCAGUUUAAGAACAAAUCUAGAAAACAGGGCAUAGUGGCUCAUAUGAGACAGGAGGGUUGUCCUGAGUUUAAGGCUAGCCUGGGCUACAGAUCAAGACUGCAGUGGUUUAAAUAAUAACCCCCAUAGCCACAUAUAUUUGAAUGCUCAGUCACCAGGAAGUGGCAUUACUUGGGAAGGGUUAGGAGGUGUGGCUUUGUGGGAGAAAGUGUGUCACUUGGGGUGGUCUUUGGCCAGGCCCAG
Peromyscus maniculatus bairdii (prairie deer mouse) is the source of this 1996-nucleotide non-coding RNA. The record is from RefSeq and is a predicted model, not a curated record. NCBI's taxonomy places the organism in Eukaryota, Metazoa, Chordata, Mammalia, Rodentia, Cricetidae.